UGAAAUACAUUUUUCAAAAAAUAAAAAGUUGAAUAAAACAUAAUAUAGUAAUAAAAAUGAACAUUAACAUUUUUCAUAUACAUACAGAAGUCAUAAUGUUAGCGGAAGUGGUGUUUCAAAAUAUCUUGAAUUCUUGUGUGGAAUUAAUUAGAAAUAAUCCUAAUUUGUCAUUCUGUUUUACAUUUUAAUAUGACGUGAUUAGAAGAUAAUUUCGUUUUAAAUUAUUCCAGUAUGGAGAAUUAUCGGCCAGAACAUUGUAGACAAAAUAUUUAAAGCAGCAAUAUAACAUACAUGAAAAUGGCUUUUUGUAUAUACCUUUUCUCACUAUGAGAAUUCACAGUGAAAUAUAAGAAUGUGUGGUUUUUCUGUCACGUCACGUGACUGGAGAAGACUGUUGACGUCAUCUUUUGUGUACAAGUUGACAGCGCCUCGGAUGUGUCCGCCAUCAAAUUCGUACGGGUACCUGCAAUCUACGAUUGUGACUUUCCCAAUCUUGUCACUGUAAUUACCGUUCAACACUUUUGCCAUUGUUUCCGGUGUGAUGGAUUUGAGGUCGCCAUGUUUUCCUUGUACUGAAGGUAGAAUGUAGUCACGUGAUCCAUCGGCUACCAAAUAACGAGAUUCGAGACGUUCUACUGCCGUAAUGACAUUCUGAAAAUGCAAUAACAGUGAAUAUUAAGAAUAAAAUGUCAACGUGAGAAAGUACAAGUACUUGUACAACUUUGAAAAUAUUUUAAAUGUUACUUCAAGAAUGAAACAAUACAUGUAGAUUCUAAUUCUAUAACUAAUAUUUCACCAUACAUACCUGAGUAGUUAAUGUAGCUAAAUCAUUCUCUAUUUGACGCAUCUUUUUCGAGCAUGGAGUAUCGUUAGAAAGAUCAUCUUCAGCUAGACGCUUGACUGCGAACAAGCUUCUGCGUGCAUCGGCUCUAGUCUCAGAAGUCACCUUUGACGAUGUAUCAAACUGAAAUGAAAGAGAAAAAAGUUAAUAUCAAAUAUUAUAUUCUUAUAUUUUAGUAUAUUUGAAUAGCAUAAAGAUUAUUAAUUCAAAUAAACUAAUUUUAGAUCUUUUAAAUUUCAAAAUAAAUUCAGAUUGUAAAAAUA
Molecule: long non-coding RNA, 1104 nt
Organism: Ruditapes philippinarum (Manila clam)
Lineage: Eukaryota; Metazoa; Mollusca; Bivalvia; Venerida; Veneridae
Exons: 2
Source: RefSeq, a predicted model, not a curated record